Molecule: small nucleolar RNA, 96 nt
Organism: Bison bison bison
Lineage: Eukaryota; Metazoa; Chordata; Mammalia; Artiodactyla; Bovidae
Source: Ensembl
UUUUCCAGGCAAGAGUACUGGAGUGAGGUGCCAUUGCCUUCUCUGAUUGAAAGGACUAUUUAUCCUUUUAAAUGUAUCCAGAAAGUCAGCUCAUUU